GCAUAAGUAGAUGAUGUAACCGGAGGAGAGCACGAGUACAGAGGGUAUGGCUUUCCAUGGCAUCUUAGUGUGCCGGAUGAGUGACAACUGCCGCCACCGCCUCCGCCACCUCCACCUCCUCCUCCUGUGCAUGUGUGCGACCCAACUUCUGGGUCAUCGUUGCAUAUGCCGUUGAUGCAAAUGAGCUCACCCUCACAAUCAUCAAGGGUUCUGCAUGGCCCGUUACACUGGGAUAUUGCAUUUGAUAGCAAUGGAAGGAACAUCAUGGCGAAAAUUAUUGUAAAGGAAACUAAUGAUUUAGCCAUAAUGUUGAUUAACAAAUAAUGUUUAGAGGUUUGAUACAAAAUGAGAAAAGAUACAUCUGCAUGAAUUUAUAGACUGGUAGUCACGUUCAUGAAAAGAACGUCUUGAGUCAUACAAUUGAGAAAAAUCCUCAUAAUAAGAUGGUUUUAACAUGUCUUUUCAUCAAAAUGUUAGAUAAUAUGUUAAUUUUUUUUUCUCUAUCCUACUCUCCUAUUUUAACUUUAAUUACAAUUUGCCAAUUUUAAAGUGGAUGAUUAUGUAGCAAGGCAAUUCCGCCACGUAAGACUUCGAUAGGCUCGGUAUGAAGGUUUAUCAAUUUACAAUUGCCGUGGAUGUGGAUGUAUGGUAAUGAAUAAUUUGUUUAUUUAUUCUUAAUUCUGAUUUUUUUCGUUAUCAUAAAUAAAAACGAAACUGUCUGAAGUUUUCCAAAUUUCUUAAAGGUGCCACGAUGCAUGCCCGUCUUCAUUAUGUUCCGCUUCUGAUGAAAUCAAAAGGCAAACCUCAAUUAAUUUUAAGGACUCGAGUGGAGGAGAAAUUUCUCCAUUCAACAAUUAAGUUUCGUUGUACAUAGUAAAACUUAAGUAGGAUGGGCCUAAAAUUUAUAGAAGAUGAUAAUUUGAUAGAAUUUAACAAUAAUAUAGAGGGGAUAAAUUUUAUUUUUCUUAGUUCAUAAGCACAAACGCUUUGUGUUGAAACUUGAUUGUCUCAUCCUUCCAUUAAUUCUUCUAACAACCAACGAAAAUUUUGAUGGGUUCAACAAUUAUGAAGAUUGAGAUUUGUCCAUCUUUUUCAUUUAACU
RNAcentral lists this long non-coding RNA (1102 nucleotides) under Citrus maxima (pomelo). Its description in RNAcentral is "long non-coding RNA (CMAX_LNC003514)". Lineage: Eukaryota; Viridiplantae; Streptophyta; Magnoliopsida; Sapindales; Rutaceae. The record is from RNAcentral.